Long non-coding RNA from Manacus vitellinus (golden-collared manakin), 1740 nucleotides. The record is from Ensembl. Lineage: Eukaryota; Metazoa; Chordata; Aves; Passeriformes; Pipridae.
UUAAUAGCUUUACAGUUACAAGCCCCAAAACUGUUUCCUAUUAAUGCUGAUUUAUUUUCUACUUACAUCUCUCUUCUCAGGUGGCAAAAUGUCUGGAGCCUCAUCUUGAAGAGCCUUGGAAGGGCCAAAAAGGUUCUUCCUUUUCCAGGUCACUGCCAGGUUUUAGAAGACACAGUUUUUCAGCAUCUGAAGCAGGAAAUCCCAGCUCUUUUCCAUGAGAAGAAGCACAGGGAUGACAGGGCUUCCCCCCAGAACACUCCCGGGGUAAUUGCUGAAGACAUUCCAAGCCACUCUAACGAAGUGCACUGUCUGCCAGUCAUUCUGUUCUCCUUGGAAGACCAUCUGUUGCACUUCAAAUAUGUAAAGGAGGCUUUAUUUCCCAGAUAGCUCCUACAGUAUUCAAAGGGCAAGUGAUAUCCAAGAUCCAAAAUUUGCCAAGCAUGGAUAUGAGUGUUCUCCAUCGUGUCUUCCUGCUCUGUAGGGCCGUACGUGGAAUUGGGAAAGGUGGUGGCUCCCAGUCAGGACAGCCUGGUAUUACUCCUUUGGGACCGGUGACUUCCCAACCUCUCUCCACGCGGGACGAUAAUCGCGCUAACGACGGCAGCGGCGCCGGAACUUCCGAGGUCUUGGUGUGGCCCUGGGCGGCCUUGGAGGAGCAUGUUUGGAGUGAAUCCUCCUCUUGCCAUGGUACUCAUGUGCAGCCACCAUGGAGAAAACCAUCUGUUCCCCUUGGAAGGGGGUUUGGUUCCCCAUGCCCUCCCCCGAUCCCGCUCCGUCCCCAGCUGCCGUGUUUCGACGAGCAGGGAACGAAUCCCCUGCGUUAAAAAUACUCUGGGUCUAUUUAGAUGAAAAGAACCUUGCUUGCCUACACUGACAUGCAAAAAUAGGCUCAGUGUGAGUAAAUCUUCAAACUUUCUUUUGGUGAAAAUACCCAGCCUGGCUUUUUUUUUUUUUUUUUUUUUUUUAACUUCUAUGAUAAGUUUAUUUAUAGAGUGUCCUUCUUUCCUCCUACUCCAUCAAGACAUUUGCAGGAGGUUGUCGCUCGUCUUGUUCAGGAGUCCUGAAAUAAUUUGCAGGGCCUUUGAAACAUCAUCAUGUUGCACAGUUGUGAUGCAUCGUGCUGCUGUUGCACCAACGUAUCAUAUUUUAGUGUGAAUGUCACGUUAACUGAGACAUUCCGGCCUUCCUUUUACUCCAGGUGCCUUACACUGGUUUGUAUUUUCAUUUUAACUCUGCAGUCAAAAAAUUCUGCGUAUAUAUAGUAACUUAAAAUUUUCCAUUCUACAUGCAAGGCAUUGCAUAGAAAAAUUAAUGUGUAAUAUGAGAAGAUUAACAGGAUGCAUAUACUUUCCAAAUAUCUCUUAAAAAUAGCUUUCACUGUCACUGUAGCAUCUUAAUUCUGAAUAAUCUCACAGUCCUUUUGCAAAUCUGUGCAUAUAGUAACAGAGUAACCACCUACUUCAUCCUCUUGAACUGCACAAUAUGUAUCUGGGCAUGAAAAAAACUGCAUUUUGGAGUAUGUUCUGCUUUGGCAGAGAGGAUGGCUGUGGGACUAGUGAGAGCAGUAAUGCCUGCGUUAAAUAUUAAUGCCAGCAUUCCCAAUACCUGCCUAUCUUUUUAAAAAGGCUCCAAGAUUCUGAGUGUGGAAUUUGCUCCACAGUGCAAAGCACCAGCACAAAUCUUGGGAAGCCUCUGCCAAGAGGUGGAAGUUGUGGAAAGGGAGCCAGGGUGGGUGUUCCC